Molecule: ribosomal RNA, 350 nt
Filed under: uncultured bacterium
Lineage: Bacteria
Description: bacterial SSU rRNA
Rfam family: Bacterial small subunit ribosomal RNA
Source: RNAcentral
AGAGUUUGAUCCUGGCUCAGGAUGAACGCUGGCGGCGUGCUUAACACAUGCAAGUCGAACGAGAGAAGAUCGGUGCUUGCACUGAUCCGAUCGAGUGGCGGACGGGUGGGUAACGCGUGGGUAACCUGCCUCAUACAGGGGAAUAACAGUUGGAAACGGCUGCUAAAACCGCAUAAGCGCACAGUAUCGCAUGAUACAGUGUGAAAAACUCCGGUGGUAUGAGAUGGACCCCGCGUCUGAUUAGCUAGUUGGUGAGGUAACGGCCCACCAAGGCAACGAUCAGUAGCCGGCCUGAGAGGGUGAACGGCCACAUUGGGACUGAGACACGGCCCAAACUCCUACGGGAGGCA